RNAcentral lists this ribosomal RNA (253 nucleotides) under uncultured bacterium. RNAcentral's name for it is "partial 16S ribosomal RNA". It matches the Rfam family "Bacterial small subunit ribosomal RNA", at positions 524 to 776 of the family's 1533-position model. The record is from RNAcentral.
GACGGAGGAUGCAAGUGUUAUCCGGAAUCACUGGGCGUAAAGCGUCUGUAGGUGGUCAAAUAAGUCAACUGUUAAAUCUUGAGGCUUAACCUUAAAAUCGCAGUCGAAACUAUUAGACUAGAGUAUAGUAGGGGUAAAGGGAAUUUCCAGUGGAGCGGUGAAAUGCGUAGAGAUUGGAAAGAACACCGAUGGCGAAGGCACUUUACUGGGCUAUUACUAACACUGAGAGACGAAAGCUAGGGUAGCAAAUGGG